UUGUUACCUCAAGCAGCCCAUAUUGCCACCACCACCUCCUACAGCUAUUGUUUGGUUAUCGGGUCUGCCUUGCGAGUCGUAGUGCACGCUAGUGCUGUUUAUAUCUCGUUACCGUUAUCGUUAUCUUAUCGGGUUAUCUGUUGGGGAAUCAUGACACAUGGUUUAUGGAUAUGUUGUUGGAGAUAAUCACACUUACUUUAUUGUAAACAACUAAAAUUGUAAGCAGAGGCAUCUGUGAGCCCCUUUGCGAAAGCAUCGGAACUUUGACUCGCUAAAGUCCCCUAGGACCCGAGUUCUUGUUAUCUGUUCCGAGAUUGAGCGCUCUACCCGUACGUGGGGAUGAUUAUCGGGACCCCCCUCACCCAUUACCUUUUCUCAAGUCAGUUGAAAAGGGGGCCACAACCUUCGUUUUAUUUGCCUAUGCCAUGUAUGCCAUGCUUUACUUACUGUUGCCUUCGGGUGUUUACUUCCUGUUGCCUUCAGGUGUUUAUAUUCUGUACUAUACCUUGCGGGACGUUUAGCGAAGCGUGUGGUUUGCACGCCUAGCCGCCGGCGCAAACCCUGAGUCCGUCUCGGAGUACGGCCGGACUUCAUCACGGGUAGCUUAGUCGGGUGGCCCUCCUAGACUUUCUUGUGGAACUGGGAACGGUCUUGUUGUGAGACUCCGCCGUAAUUAAGCGGGUUCGAGCAUGCGUAUGGUUACAUUUGGGCAACCCCUGCAGGGUGUACAUCUUAUCGAUAAGCCGUGUCCGCGGUUAUGGACGACUUGGAAUUGUAUAGCUCGAUCAUAGAACAACUUACACCUUUAUGCUGAUGCUAAUAAUUUGCUAAUAACUUGCGUAGUAAUAUAGCACUACUUCAACGGCUACCUAAUAAAACUUGUCCACCGUGUGAGUGCCUUUGUAAGUACUUCCUUGCGAUGGGGGAACGCAUCGGUUGUGUUAUGUUUGCAGAGUAUAGAACUGCUAGCUUACGCGCUCUCUCAUCUCCUCUGAUUAGACGACUGUUGUAGAGUGUCUCUAUAGGUUUUUAGUGCUUGCGCGCUGCCGCUUAACCCCACCAUAUUGCCUAUGAUGUUCCUCUUGCGUCCUCUAAGUCCCCUGCGUGCCUCAAGUACAAAGGACGACUGGUUGACGAAUGCUUAUACGUCUUGAAGUCUUGUUAAGUACGAACCCGUACUUAUUGCUGCUUUGGGACAUAACCGGGCAGGUAUGAAGACAUGUUCGAUGAAGACGACGUUAGCGAGGUUACCCUUCCGGCUUGGCCUGGGCAGGGUUAUGGACGCCACUGGUUAUCUUCAGGACUCUUAGUCCAAUUUGUAUCUUGUCCGUACUCGGACGUAUUUGAUCUUCUGUAUGAUUCGGAUCUUUGUAUUGUAUAUUUGUAUCUUGACUCGUUGGAGUCGUUGUUGUAAUAUAUGUUUCUUGUGGGCUCUAUUGUAA
Molecule: non-coding RNA, 1442 nt
Organism: Lolium perenne
Lineage: Eukaryota; Viridiplantae; Streptophyta; Magnoliopsida; Poales; Poaceae
Source: RefSeq, a predicted model, not a curated record